RNAcentral lists this ribosomal RNA (441 nucleotides) under uncultured bacterium. RNAcentral describes it as "partial 16S ribosomal RNA". It matches the Rfam family "Bacterial small subunit ribosomal RNA", at positions 338 to 795 of the family's 1533-position model. The record is from RNAcentral.
CCUACGGGAGGCAGCAGUCGAGAAUCAUUCACAAUGGGGGAAACCCUGAUGGUGCGACGCCGCGUGGGGGAAUGAAGGUCUUCGGAUUGUAAAGCUCUGUCUUCAGGGACGAUAAUGACGGUACCUGAGGAGGAAGCCACGGCUAACUACGUGCCAGCAGCCGCGGUAAUACGUAGGGGGCGAGCGUUGUCCGGAUUUACUGGGCGUAAAGGGAGCGUAGGCGGACUUUUAAGUGAGAUGUGAAAUACUCGGGCUCAACGUGAGUGCUGCAUUUCAAACUGGAAGUCUAGAGUGCAGGAGAGGAGAAUGGAAGUCCUAGUGUAGCGGUGAAAGGCGUAGAGAGUAGGAAGAACACCAGUGGCGAAGGCGAUUCUCUGGACUGUAACUGACGCUGAGGCUCGAAAGCGUGGGGAGCAAACAGGAUUAGAUACCCGUGUAGUC